UAGUACAAGAGUGCACACGCUGAAAUGUCUCGCCUUCUAUACUAAUCAUUGAUAUUAUGUUGAUAGUCCUAGGUAUAAAGCUAAGCUUUAUUACAACUGUCACAUAAACUUAACAUUAACCAAGAUAACUAAACAAAGACCAAUGAACCUUGAAAAUGAGGUCAAGGUCAGAUGAAACAUGCCAGGCAGACAUGUACAGCUAACAAUGCUUCUAUACAACAUAUAUAGUUGACCCAUUACUUAUAGUUUAAGAAAAAUAGACCAAAACACAAAAACUUAACACUGUGCAAUGAACCGUGAAAAUGAGGUCAGGGUCAAAUAAAACCUGUGUGACUGACAUAAAGAUCAUAAUAUAUUUCCAUACACCAAAUAUAGUUGACCUAUGACAUAAAGUAUUAGAUAAAAAGCCCAAAACUCAAAAACUUAACUUUGACCACUGAACCAUGAAAAUGAGGUCAGGGUCACAUGACAUCUGCCAGCUAGAUAUGUACACCUUACAAUCAUUCCAUACAACAAAUAUAGUAGACCUAUUGCAUAUAGUAUGAGAAAAACAGACCAAAACACAAAAAUUUAACUAUAACCACUGAACCAUGAAAAUGAGGUCAAGGUCAGAUGACACCUGCCAGUUGGACAUGUACACCUUACAGUCCUUCCAUACACCAAAUAUACUAGCCCUAUUGCUUAUAGUAUCUGAGAUACGGACUUGACCACCAAAACUUAACCUUGUUCACUGAUCCAUGAAAUGAGGUCGAGGUCAAGUGAAAACUGUCUGACAGACACGAGGACCUUGCAAAGUACGCACAUAUCAAAUAUAGUUAUCCUAUUACUUAUAAUAAGAGAGAAUUUAACAUUACAAAAAAUUUGAACUUUUUUUUCAAGUGGUCACUGAACCAUGAAAAUGAGGUCAAGGACAUUGGACAUGUGACUGACGGAAACUUCGUAACAUGAAGCAUCUAUAUACAAAGUAUGAAGUAUCCAGGUCUUCUACCUUCUAAAAUAUAAAGCUUUUAAGAAGU
Molecule: long non-coding RNA, 1016 nt
Filed under: Mytilus galloprovincialis (Mediterranean mussel)
Lineage: Eukaryota; Metazoa; Mollusca; Bivalvia; Mytilida; Mytilidae
Source: RNAcentral